This 391-nucleotide unclassified non-coding RNA is filed under the name soil metagenome. RNAcentral describes it as "partial contains 5.8S ribosomal RNA, internal transcribed spacer 2, and large subunit ribosomal RNA". The stretch from base 1 to 122 matches the Rfam family "5.8S ribosomal RNA", at positions 35 to 154 of the family's 154-position model. The record is from RNAcentral.
GAUGAAGAACGUAGCGAAAUGCGAUACUUGGUGUGAAUUGCAGAAUCCCGUGAACCAUCGAGUCUUUGAACGCAAGUUGCGCCCGAAGCCAUUAGGCCGAGGGCACGCCUGCCUGGGCGUCACACGUCGUUGCCCCCCCAUCUACUCCUUCGGGAUUGCGGGGGGCGGAUGAUGGCCUCCCGUGCGCCUCGUCCCGCGGUUGGCAUAAAUGCCAAGUCCUCGGCGACGCACGCCACGACAAUCGGUGGUUGCGAAACCUCGGUUGCCCGUCGUGUGCGGUCGUCGCGCAUCGAGGGCUCGAAAAAAUUGCCGGGCUCCGGCUCGGCUUUCAACGCGACCCCAGGUCAGGCGGGGUUACCCGCUGAAUUUAAGCAUAUCAAUAAGCGGAGGA